CACAUCCGCAACUCCCCCACACCCCCUCCCUUCCCACCAAACCCAGCGCCAUGCCAAUGCCGCUGCCCGCCGUGGGCACGGGCCCCGCGUCGGCGAUAGCUCCGGUCACCGCCGCGGCGCCCCUUAGAUAUCGUCCCAUACGACUCCGCGCAUCUCCGUCGACGGUUUCCUCCCCUUCAACCUCUGCGAUCUCCAGCCCGCCGCCCCCGCCGUCUGCGAGGCAUUCCCGCAAACACCUGGCGGGCAGAGGCCACGCCCCGGCGAGGCCCUCCAAGGACCGUGUCUUCUUCCUCGACGUCAACCCGAUAUGCUUCCGCGGCUCCCAGCGUAGCCUCGGCGCCUUCGCGCGCUGGCUCGCGCUCUUCUUCACGCACGUCAGCCUCCGGGACCCCGUUGUGGCCGUCUUCGACGGGGCAGGUGGGAACGAGUACCGGAGGCGGCUGCUGCCGUCCUACAAAGCGCACCGGACUCGCGGCGUAGGCACCGGUGCCGAUUCCCGCGUGGUUGACGUGCUCUGCGAGUGCAAUGUUCCGAUUGUGCAAGUCGAUGGAUACGAGGCAGAUGAUGUAGUGGCUACCUUGACAAAGCAAGUAUUACAGAAAGGUUAUAGAGUUGUCAUUGCCUCGCCUGACAAGGACUUCAAGCAGUUGAUAUCUGAAGAUGUUCAGUUAGUUAUGCCCAUUCCUGAGAUUGGCCGAUGGUCCUUUUAUACGCUGAGGCAUUAUGUUGCACAAUACAAGUGUGAUCCAACUGUAGAUUUGAGCCUCAGAUGCUUUAUGGGUGAUGAAGCAGAUGGUGUUCCGGGAAUCCAGCAUCUGGCUCCUGGUUUUGGUCGCAAGACUGCGGUGAAACUACUGAACAAACAUGGUUCAUUAGAAAACCUACUUAAUACAGCUGCAGUUAGAACUGUAGGCAAGGAGUAUGCCCAGGAUGUUUUAGUCAAGCAUGCAGAUUACUUGCGAAAAAACUAUGAAAUUCUCAGUUUGAGGAGGGAUGUAAAUGUUCAGCUUGAUGACAGAUGGUUAUCCACAAGGGACACUUGUAAUGACACCAGUGUGUUAUCUGACUUCAUCACUAAAUUCAACUAAGGACAGAAGCUAAAUAGCGGGUAAAAAGCAAAUAUGACCAAUUUUGUUUCUUCCUCUUAAGCUCUACUUACCAUCAGACCAUCAUCAGUGAAAAAAAGGCUUUCAAUAGUUAGAUGAGGCAGUCUCUUGGCAAGGUUACUUGGUGAUGCCGGCUACAAGACGCAGAGGCGUGGUCCAGGAGCAGUGUAGUACUACUACGUGCAGCGUCACAGUGACGGAGCGACCCAUGGUCUCGCCCGAAGACAGGCACCGGACAUGCUAUCUCAGCUAUUUUGUCACGCUAGUAUAGCAUAUCUUAAGGGAGCCAACACAGAUUGCAGAUCUGAUCUCAUGUAAUGCGAUCCUCGGAUGCUAUCACUCGCUGCUGCUAAUUGGAUACUGUGCUGGUCUCGGUUCGUGGGGCGCUGGCCAAAUCUAGCGCGGCUUUGUUGUGGCAUUGGAUGAUAAAUCUGUGCUCUGGUUUGUUUUUA
This is an RNA transcript of Triticum aestivum (bread wheat), 1558 nucleotides long. It is a transcript of the gene named 5'-3' exonuclease, with no coding region annotated. Lineage: Eukaryota; Viridiplantae; Streptophyta; Magnoliopsida; Poales; Poaceae. The record is from RefSeq and is a predicted model, not a curated record. The transcript is spliced from 6 exons.